This 565-nucleotide ribosomal RNA is filed under the name uncultured bacterium. Its description in RNAcentral is "bacterial SSU rRNA". It matches the Rfam family "Bacterial small subunit ribosomal RNA", at positions 338 to 916 of the family's 1533-position model. The record is from RNAcentral.
CCUACGGGAGGCAGCAGUAGGGAAUUUUCCGCAAUGGGCGAAAGCCUGACGGAGCAAUACCGCGUGAGGGAUGACGGCCUGUGGGUUGUAAACCUCUUUUCUCAAGGAAGAAGUUCUGACGGUACUUGAGGAAUAAGCAUCGGCUAACUCUGUGCCAGCAGCCGCGGUAAUACAGAGGAUGCAAGCGUUAUCCGGAAUCACUGGGCAUAAAGCGUCUGUAGGUUGUUUAGUAAGUCUGCUGUUAAAGACUGGGGCUUAACCCCAGAAAAGCAGUGGAAACUGCUAGACUCGAGUGUGGUAGAGGUAGAGGGAAUUCCUAGUGUAGCGGUGAAAUGCGUAGAUAUUAGGAAGAACACCAAUGGCGAAGGCACUCUACUGGGCCAUAACUGACACUGAGAGACGACAGCUAGGGGAGCAAACGGGAUUAGAUACCCCGGUAGUCCUAGCCGUAAACGAUGGAUACUAGAUGUUGCACGUAUUAACCCGUGCAGUAUCGUAGCUAAGGCGUUAAGUAUCCCGCCUGGGAAGUACGCUCGCAAGAGNGAAACUCGAAAGGUAUUGACGG